Molecule: non-coding RNA, 512 nt
Organism: Caretta caretta (loggerhead turtle)
Lineage: Eukaryota; Metazoa; Chordata; Testudines; Cheloniidae
Source: RefSeq, a predicted model, not a curated record
UAGGAUAUGCUUUCUGACAUUUAAGACUGAAAGGUACUAGACGAAUUGCAACACUGACUGCACAUACAAAGUUCUGUAGCCAGAGCACAAGUGUGGAAGGGAUGCUUUUCUACAGUAAUGCUGCAGAUGAAAGCCAGCUCAAAAUAAGAAUGAUUGUUUGCUCCAUUCGACCUUAACUCUGUUUGUCCGUUAAAAAAGGGGUGAUGUCUCACUCAUGCACCAUGAAGAUAGACAAUCACACCUUGGAAUUGUGCAAUUCACCCAGGACCUUGUCCCAACAAUAGACGGGCAAAGCUAUUCUGAAGAUAAUGAAGGAAGAGACAAUAGACUGUCAAGGAAGAGCUGCACUGGCAAUGAUGAAAGCAAGGAAGGUGGUGGAACUACCAUGAAUGAGACAAGAACUAGGAUACUUUGGAAUGAAAGGAAUCAGUGGAUUUAUUCAUUGGAGGAGAGGGGGAAAGAAGAGACAUCAGUGGAAGAUCUGAAUUUUCUGGAAGUUCAAGUCCCAGAGG